Molecule: long non-coding RNA, 2370 nt
Filed under: Sus scrofa (pig)
Lineage: Eukaryota; Metazoa; Chordata; Mammalia; Artiodactyla; Suidae
Description: lncRNA (ENSSSCG00055011010.1)
Source: RNAcentral
GGAAUAGAGCAGCUUCUAGUAACAAUCCCCGAACCUCUUUCAGCCGCUGGAGAAGUCCAGCCUGCCCACAGGACAGAGGAGGGUGACGCUUCCUCUGAGGAGCCUGGAGGCCAGGGCACAGCUGGCCACCCUAGGAGGUUUUCAGCGCCAUGGGCUGCAGUUCUGCCUGCUCUGCUGUCUCCCAGGGUCGUGAUGACAGCGCACCCAUGUGCUGAGAGAGUCCACGUAGUGACAGAGAGGACAGGGAAGGAGCAGCUGGGAGGGAGGGAGGAAGGGCCAGAGCCGCAGAGGCAGUGGGUGGGACCGGCAGCCAGUGCUCCCCCGUAGACAGAGGGAAGGUUCAGGGGACAGGCUGGCUUCCUAGUAAACAGUGCAGCCAACUCUAAAAAUACCCCUGCUCCAGACAGGCACCCUGAGCAACUCAGGUCUGCUCCAGCCUUCAGGGACCUCAGCCCCUUCCCUGGAAGGUCAAGGGGAUGGGAGGAAAGUCAACUUGUAAAGAGUAGGAUUUCCUUAGGGAGGAAACGAUAACAAUAUUUCCUUCCUCUGCAAAACAGAAGGGGGACACUCAGAUUUUAGCAGCAGCAACAACAAAAGGCAAGAGGCAGCUUACCUUGUUCCUUUGGUAGUUAUCUGAGGUCUGGGCUCAGCUCAGGUCUAAGGCCUAGAGAUGCAUUCACAGCCUGGGAUCAGGGAGCCGGGAGGAGGGCCAGGCUGGAAUCUCUAGCUGUUCCCCUUCUUAGGUGUGUGACUAUGACUCACCAUUUGAUGCCUCAGUUUCCACAAUUAUAAAUGGGAAUAAUGAUAAUGUUUACUUCACUCGGGUGUGGGGAGGAUUAAAUGAGGUGCUAUAUAUAAGGCUCUUAGCACACCAUGCCUGACCUGUGGGGAACACCCAGAAAGGUCUUAUUAUUAGGGUAUGUGGGAGGCUGUAACUGUGCCUCAAUUCUAAGACGUAGUUUAAAGGAAGAUUUAGUCAGAAGAUCAAGGGAGUGGUAUUGGAUACAAAGACAUGGGAAAGGUCUGAAUCAUAGAAAAGUCAAAUCCACUAUUGGACAGAUGGGGAAACGGAGGCCUGGGGAGCAGAAAGUAGAAGUUGCGCCAGGCCAGGCAUUGUCUUAGCAGCUGUAGGUUUAAUGUAAAAUAAUGGUGUGAUGAGACCGCUAAAAACCCUGGUGACAGGCAGGCUGCCCCGCUAGGAGUUAGGAGAAUGAGGCCUUGCAUUAUAUAGCACUUUUCUUUCUUUUUUUUUUCCCAUUUAUAAUGAUUUUUAUUUUUUCCAUUAUAGCUGGUUUACAGUGUUCUGUUAAUUUUCUACUGUACAGUAAGGUGAUCCAGUUACAGAACUCAUCCCCAGGGCUGGUGACUGAGUUAUCAUUGCAGACGGCACCCUUGAACCCAUGGGGGAGAGGCACAGGCAGGAAGAGCUUAGCUCGGCCUAAAGGAGAAUCUUCUAAACCUGUAAAAAGGUAAAAUAUCGCCAUCAUUUUUUAUUGGUUCCAUACUGAAAUGUUAUUUUUAGAUCCAUUGAGGGUAAAUAAUAUAUAUUGUUAAAAUGAAUUUUGCUUGUCCUUUUUAGUUUUUUUCUUGUGGCUUCUAGAAAGCUUAGAGCCAUACUUGGGGCUUGCAGUAUCUUUCGAUUGGGCAGUGCUGUUCUAACCAGUGCAAUGGAACAAGCUGUCUGGCCAGGUAGUGAGCCUCUCAUUCUUGGAGAUGUUUUAAAAAGUUGUUGUUCAUAGAAUUCUUAUAGUUAGUGGGAUAAACUCUGUAAUCCCUUUAAUUCUGCUUCAGUUGUGGUUCCCAGCUGUGAGUCUCCGAGGAGCACUUGCCUCUUAGACCAUGAAAAGAUGUUACAGGAAAAAAGACUGAUGGUCCAUUUAAUAUGGGAAAUUCUUGGUUGGAAAAAAAAAAAAAAAGUUAAGUUUUUCUCACUCCAGGACUUCACAGAACUUUCUAGAUACAAAAUUACACUGUGGGUCUUUAUGACAGGGACACUGUAGUCAGCAUUCCCCAUAUUAAAUUGGUCACAGAACAUGACCAGGAAAUAAUUUAUUAUUAAGUUCAUUCCUUAAGAAUUGCUGGCCUCAAGUUCUUAAAAAAAUUAAAAUAAAUAAAUAAAUAGAUUCGGGAGCUCCCAUUGUGGCUCAGUGGUAAUGAACUUGACUAGUAUGCAUGGAAAGAGGAUUCGCUCAAUCCUUGGCCUUGCUCAGUGGGUUAAGGAUCCAGCAUUGCCAUGAGCUGUGGUGUAGGUCGAAGAUGCGUCUCAGAUCCAGCGUUGCUGUGGCUGUGGCGUAGGCCACCAACUGUAGCUCUGAUUCAACCCCUAGCCUGGGAACUUCCAUAUGCCAUGGGUGUGGCCCUAAAAAGACA